AGCCACAGCCAUAUCACCCUGCAGCCCAAGACUGGUUGCCCACUGAAGCUAAGCAGGGUUGAGCUGGUCAGUACCUGGAUGGGAGACCUCCUGGGAAAACUAGGUUGCUGUUGGAA
This 116-nucleotide ribosomal RNA is filed under the name Sinocyclocheilus rhinocerous. Lineage: Eukaryota; Metazoa; Chordata; Actinopteri; Cypriniformes; Cyprinidae. The record is from RNAcentral.